RNAcentral lists this long non-coding RNA (7282 nucleotides) under Sus scrofa (pig). RNAcentral's name for it is "lncRNA (ENSSSCG00025058837.1)". The record is from RNAcentral. Lineage: Eukaryota; Metazoa; Chordata; Mammalia; Artiodactyla; Suidae.
GAUUUCCAGUGAUGAUACCAUUGGAGCUGCAACUUUUACUAUCAAUGUGCGUCUGGUAUGUUUGCUCAUACUAAUCCGUUAGCAUUUAAUUUUGCAUUUUUAUCUCUUAUCCUAAAAGCAUCUAGUAGCAACUGAAUUGCAGUUAAGUCUGACCUCAGUGCUCCUGGAGUGAUUCAAUCUUAAAAUGAUUGUGGAUUUUGAAAAGACAGGGGGAAACUGGCCAUGGGUUCUCAUGGGAGUGCCCUGGCAGACACGCAGUCCUGAACUUGCUGUCAUUUUUAGGAGGUUAUAGAGUUGAGAAAUGUUUCCCCUGUGGGCAUGAGAUAAAAAGAAGGUGGGAAAACAGACAGUGAAGAGUCAUGACCCUGUGUCCCUUCACAUCUUGUUUAGAACCAAAAAGUGUGAGGAAUUUGCAAGUGCCUCCGAGAUGGGAGCAACACUGGUAUCUCCUUGAGCUGGCUCUAACCAACCUUAGCAUCCUUCCUUAGCAUCAGCCAUUAUGCAUCUUCUCACCAAAGCACGUCAGCAUGAAUCUGAACCAGUGAUGCAUUAAACAUGGCACUGAUAUAGAAAAUUUAACUUGCAAUGAAGCAAGACCAAAGCUUUUAAUAAAAUGCAAAGAUAUGUAACUGCCUAAAUUUACAUAUGACGUUGUAGUCAGAGACUUGAAAGGAAGGGAGCCCAUUCAAAUAAGUAAAGGGGAAAAAAGUGCUAUAAAAAUGCAAUUAAUUUCAUAAGUAUUCAAAGACAGAACAGAGUUGUAAAAGCAUAUGUGUACCUACACAAUCUCUCAUGGCUAAAAUAUCACGAUUUUCCUGCGUUCACCUCUCAUAGAAAAAAAAUACCAAAAAAAACAAAAGUGUUCUACUUUGAUUUUCUAAAACUUAUUUGAAAAGAAAAGGGCAAUUGUUUUCAUCUACAACUAUAUCUGUAAAUCUUCUUCUAGUCUGAAUAUAUUAAAAGACUUAAAUCUUUGAACUGAACUGAAAAGUUGUUUAUAUGAUACAGCUUUACAUACACAACCAAAUAACCUCAGUUGUUUUCAUUUUCAGUAUAAAUGUGGGGAUUUCAUAAGUGGCUACCUACAAGGGUUAAAUAUAAAAUAACAUUCUAAUAAAUAGUCACAUUAAUUAGUGUUAAUCACAGCAUAAAGCACUACACCCAGAGUAAUGCCCUUCUAAUUUGUGUAGUUACAGAGAAUCCCUACCAGCCUGCCUGCCUAGUGCCCAUGGAACUGGAAGGAAUCCUACCCAUGAGCACGUAUCCAUAGAGCUCCCCUUUAAACCACCUCUGGCAUCCCCAAACAUAUGUGCCCAGUCAGCAGUCCAUUGCCUUAACCACUCGGCCACCUCAUCCCAUAUGUACCCAUCCAGGGAAGAAGCAAUUAAAGUUUACUAUUGCUCAAGAAAUACACACCAGCUGCCUGUAUAGUCAACAUAGUUCUGUCAUAAAUAGAAAUGGUCAACUAAAAUCAAAACACAUUUGAAGAAUUCCCAUUGUAGUUCAGCGGAAACAAACCUGACUAGCAUCCAUGAGGAUGCAGGUUCAGUUCCUGGCCUCACUCAGUGGGUUAAGGAUCUGGUGUUACCAUGAGCUAUGGUGUAGGUCACAGAUGCAGCUCGGAUCUGGUGUUGCUGUGGCUGUGGUGUAGGCCAGUGGCUAUAGCUCCAAUUCGAACCCUAGCCUAGGAACCUCCAUAUGCCAUGGGUGUGGACCUAAAAAGGAAAUUUUUUAAAAAAGUAAAUCACAUUUGAAAAAAGAACCACAGCUUGAAACAGAAAUAUAUAGAUGAACAAACAAAAUAACUGAUCCCAGAGCAGAAAACAUCAUGUAACAAACACAAAAACACUUUUUAAAAGAUUAAAUUUAUAUCCUCAGAGUUAUUUCAAAGUAUAGUAUUUUUGUAAAACAAGUUCUGACAUUUAUGAAAAAAGAGCAGUUGAGAACAUAAAAGAGUUUUUAGAAAAUAAAGAUAGAAUUUCCAAAAUAAGAAAAAUGUAAUAGGAGUUCUGAAUAAUAAAACAUACAUGGCUGAAGACUUUAAUUAGUAGCCUGGAAGAUAAAAUUAAGGACAUUUUCAAAAGUUAGAGCAACAAAAUAUGAUAUAACUAAAGGACAGUAUCUGUCUAAUGGGGGUUUUCAAUGGAGGAAACAGAGGAAAUAGAAGGAAAGAAGCAGUCAAUGAAACAAUAGUUAUCCAUGCUGCAAAAAUCAGAGCCUGAGCACAGAGCCUCUCUCUCCCAUCCAAGCACUGACAUAAACAGCUAAUGUGGGGAGGGCCUUGGGACUGGGGAGGCAAAUGAAGAAAGCAUGGCCUACUUAGGAUUUAGUGUCCUACAGAGACAGUUUGUUUGGCCUGAUUAGGCAGCUUCUGUAGAGCAUCAUUUAAAAGCUGGAAGGAUCAAAGACUAGACACCCAAGGAAAAGGCCUAUAGCUCUGGUGGAAAGUGAAGUUUAUUGAUUUAGCAUCCAGUGGUUUGAGCCUACUGGACACCUCCAACACAAGGAAACACUCUAGUUCUACUACUGCAGGCCAUUCUUGGAAGGGAUCAUUUGGCUAAGCUCCCCCCUUUUUUGUGGCUGAAGAAGGACCACCUUCCCCAGAGCCCCCACAACUACACACAGCCACAUUCAAGAAUGCUAACAGUCUGACAAGUUCCCACUCACUGCCGCAUCACUAGAAAAGAUUCUCUCUUAACUCUCACGUCCUGCCCUCCACCACCAACUGACAGUUCCCAACAGGCUAACUUAAACAUGCACUGUUAUGGGAAAGCAAAGAAAGAUCUCAGAUUUACUUAAGGGGCUCAGCAGCUUAAAGGAGGAAGAAUGGGGCAGGGGGAGGGGAAAGACAGGACAAAUGUCUCCCACAAGGCAGAUAAUAUAGAGAGAAAAUACAAUUUAAGAAAAAAAAUUACAUAAAUCAAUGGCAUACAAAAAAUAUUGAUGGAUCUGGUGUUGCCGCAACUGUGAUGUAGGUUGCAGCUAUGGUGGCUAGGAUUCAAUCCCUGGUGCAGGUACUUCCAUGUGCCACAGGUGCUGCCAAAAGAAAAAAAAAGAUAUUGGUAUACAAAGAAUUAGAAAACCAAAAAUAGUAACUUAAAAAAUAUUUUUUUAAAUCAUAGUACUUGAAUUUUAAAAUUCAUUAGAGGAACACCAGAAAAAAGUGGUACUUCUGGAAACAAAAUUGAAAGUAAGAAAGGUCAAAUAGAGGAACUAUAUCACAAUGAAGCCCCAAAACAUAAAGGUUGGACGUUUUGUGUAAAAAGAUGUAUAAGACAGAUCCAGAAGAGCUGAAAAACAAAACAAUGAGCAGUCCAAGAAAUAACCAGAAAACAUACAAAGGAGAAGUUUAAAAGGGAACAGAAGAAAGAUUCUGCUUUUCAGAUUAAAUAUGCCAAGCAUGAUUUAACUUUUUAAAUGACACAUAUUUUGACAAAAUAUAGUAAAACUAUGAAUCCCAAAAAUAAAAAGAAAAUCUGAUACUUUCAGACAUUAAUACACACAUAUACACAUACAUAUUAACUUAGGAAAGAACAUCACAAUAGACUUUUUGCCUGCACCUCUGGAAGAUAGGGAAAAAUAUUUUCAGGCUUUCCAGAGAAAAGAAGCAAGGUUCAAGAAUUCCUUACCAGCCUAGACAUCAUUCAUCCCCAUGAAAGAGCAAGGGAAUAAAUUUUACAUGAUUAUAAAAUAUUCUACCUAUGUAUCCUUCUCAGGCAACAAAGAAGCAGAGAGGAAAUUAAUUUAUGACAAAUAAUCUUAAACUAGUAAAAGAUUGAGUGUAUAAGAAACAAUGGUGAGCAAAAAAAACCCUAGUUUUUAAAAACUGAAGAAGGUAUUAAAAUUAAAAGGAUGAUAAUGCAAUUUUUGAAGUAUAAAAUAUAUGUUGAAUGAGGAUUAUAAAAGUAGAAAGGCAUAAUUCACAGAAAAGUAAACAACAGUUUAGAACUAAAAUGCCAAUAAUACCUAGGGAUGAAUGUUAAAGAAAGAUGAUUCAAAAUAAAAAUUUAUCAGAAGAUGGGGUGGGGGAAGAGGAUUAGGAAGAUACAAUGGUAAAGAUCACUGAUCUAUACUCAUUUUGAAAUGUAAAACAGAGACCCAGAGCAGAAUUUUGAAAUUAUUGCUGGGAGUGAGAGGUGAGAAAGAUAAGAUGGUAGAUGUAGGAAAAGCAGAACAGAAUCAUGCCUUCUUAAAGUAGAGGGUGUAUUUGUUUUUCAAAUACCCAGAGAAUGGUUAUAACCAUUGUCCAUUUUUUAGGCCACAAAUAAAAUCUUAAUAAAUUCAAGAAAAAAAUACAUAACAUAUUCUCUAAAAACCAAGAUAAAAGUAGGCAUUAACAAAAGAAGAAAAUUUUUUAUUUCAAAUAUGUGCAUGUAGAGAUUUAGAAGCACUCCUUUAAAUAGCUCUUGGUUUAAACAGGAUAUCAAAACCAAAGUUGCAAAAAUUAUAUAGAAAAAUUAAAGACAAAGAAAAUUUCUUAUCAAUGCUUAUGUGAGCCAGUUUUAUAUGGUAUAUGGUAUCCAAAGUAAGAGAUGAAGAGUUACAGCUUAAAAGAAUUUAUUAAAACUAAGAAGGAUUGAAAACAAAAUUAAAAAGCUAACAUUUGAACUCUAGAAUCAAGAAAAAAUGAUGAAUUAAGCCCAGAGAAAUUAAAGAAAAACUAUUAAUAAACACAAAAACAUAAAUUAAUUAUGUACAAAAUAAAAUACAUAUCAAUAAAACCAAAAACAUAUAGUUUUUUUUGGAAAAACUAAUAAAAUGGCCAAAUACUGCAACUUAGAGGAAAAGAGAGAAGACAAGUAUAACUGCCUUCUCCAAGACAUGAAGAAGUUCAUUGAUCAGGUGAGCCGUCAUAGUCUUGAAGAGCUCUGUGGUAACGAUUCUUAUAAGCCAGCAUGAGAAAAGCUGUCAUCUAAUUGUACUCUAUGAAUUCAAUGAGGAUGAUGGGCUGCCAGGGUGGCAGGAAGCAAGUGAUGGCACUUAAUCCUCAAAGACAAGGCAGUUGUGGUUACUGUAAUGAAAGCAGAGCCAAAGUAGUCAUGAGAAUGCUUAGACAUGCUUAGAGAUUUUGUGUGGGCAAACUGAUCACAGUGCCCUUAGGACUGAAAUAGAUAGGCAGUGAAUGAAAGUCUUUCCUGAUUCAUGUAGGUGAAAGAGCUCUAGAUGUAAUGUUUUAAAAGUCUGGCUUAAACCACUACAACAGAGAAUCAUGGAUCCUCAAACGAUUCCCAGGCUCAAAGUCCCCUGAAUGAAGGGGAGGCUGGUGUUCUCUUGAGAAAGGACCUUGCUAACCUACCAAAAAUGUACGUGUAAAUCUUCCUUUUAGACUACCAAAUAAAUUUGGUGUCAUUUAGCACGGAGACUGUGCCUAGGGGAAGGAAAAUAAUCAGAAUUUGAGAAUUUCUGGAUGUCUUAAUCCCGCACCCUUAGAAUCCAUUUCUGUGAAUAUUUCUCUGGUUUAUAUUGUGAUUUUUUUGGUGCUUAUGGUGUCUCCUGAUAGGUCACUGUAUCUCCCCCUCUGGGGUGUGAUGAGUCCUGAGUCUGGUUAUAAGUCUAGUAGCAAAGAGAGGUAGUAGAAGUAGGUCCUAAAGGAGAUCUAAAUAGCACAUAGGAGCCAUUUCAGAUUCUCAGGAAAAGGAAAACUAAUUACUUCAGUCAGGGGAAAUGUUGCUCCAUUACAUAUGAACAUCUCCAAAAGUCUCAACCCACAGCAGGUGCUCAAAAGUCCCAAAUCUCAUUACCCAAGUCAAAUAUGGGUGGCAUUCCAGAUAUAAUCCAUCUUGGAGCAAAAUUCCCUUCCAUUUGUGAACCUGUGAAACUAAAAAAGAGUCAUUGGUCCCAAACAAUUUCAAAAUCCAACUGGUCAAAUUUCAUUAGGUUAAAAGUUUUGGAAUAAUCCUCUGUAGCUUAUGGCUCUGCACUGUGGACCCAAGUCCUUACCCUUAAAGUCAUCUUUCUUUUUUCUCAAAGAGUAGGACAUAUCUUUUAUCAUGUUUCCUGCCUGUAAAAUUCUGGGAGACCAACAGCUUUCCUUCAUUUCAUUCUGUUUCUUGUCCUUUUCAGUCCAAGAUGUCAGUUUUUUCUGCUAACAUGACAUUCCCAAAACCUUGUCAGGAUGGGAUUAAGAUGGUAGAGCAGAAGGACCAGAGCUGACCUUCUCUCAUAAAAGCAACAAAAUUACAAAUAACUGUUGAACAACCUUCAACAAAAUAGACUGAAAACUAUCAAAAAAGAUAUCCUACUCCAGAAGACAAAGAGGAGGCCACAUCGAGACAGUUGGAGGGGUGAUUACACAAUAUAAGUAACCCCAUGCCUGCUGGGCAGGCAGCCCACACACAGGAAAGUAACUGUAUUGCAGAGUUUCACCUACAGGAGUAAGAGCUCUGAACCCCACAUCAGGUUCCCUCACCUGGGAUCUGGCAUUGGGAAGAGGAACCCCUGGAGCAUUUGGCAUUGAGGGACAGUGGGGCUAGCGCACAGGAGAUCCACAGGACUGGGGGAAUCAGAACUCCACUCUUGAAAGGCACACAUAGGCUUUCAUGUGCACUGGGUCCCAGCACAAAGCAGAAACUGCAUAGGAAUCUGGGUGAGACCUGCCUGAAGUUCUUGGAGGAUCUCCUGAGAAAACAAGGGGUGACUGUGGUUUACUGUGGGGGAAAGACAUUAGAGACAAAGGUCUCAGUGUGAAUCAUCAGUGUGAACUCCUCUAGAGGUGGCCAUUUUGGAAAAAUCUGUCCCCACCCACCAGGGCUGAGACAUCCAGGCCAAAAAACAAAUCUGGUGGGAAUACAGCCAAACCCAUCAGCAAACAGGUUGCCUAAAGACCCCCAGGCACACACCCACCUCUAAUCACACCCAGAGACGAAGCCCCACCCACAUGAGGGAUAAGAAUAAGUUCCACCUACCAGUGGGCAGGCACAAGUCCCUCCCAUCAGGAAACCUGCAGCAAGUACCUUUUACAACUUUAGCCACGAUAGGGGCAGACAUCAGUAGCAAGAGACGGAGUUCCCGUCGUGGCACAGUGGUUAACGAAUCCGACUAGGAACCAUGAGGUUGCGGGUUCGGUCCCUGCCCUUGCUCAGUGGGUUAACGAUCCGGCAUUGCCGUGAGCUGUGGUGUAGGUUGCAGACAUGGCUCGGAUCCCGAGUUGCUGUGGCUCUGGCGUAGGCCGGCAGCUACAGCUCUGAUUCGACCCCUAGCCUGGGAACCUCCAUAUGCUGAGGGAGCGGCCCAAGAAAAUGGCAAAAAAAGACAAAAAAAAAAAAAAAAAAAAAAAAAAAAA